Molecule: long non-coding RNA, 1223 nt
Organism: Zea mays
Lineage: Eukaryota; Viridiplantae; Streptophyta; Magnoliopsida; Poales; Poaceae
Exons: 3
Source: RefSeq, a predicted model, not a curated record
UUCUUGUGUUUAUUCCUCGCUAGUACAUGUACUCGGCGUAGAUUAAGUAGAGGCUAACCAUGUGUAUGUUUGUGUAUGCUUGUGAGGAGAGAAACCCCUAGGUUCCGACGGUGAAGAACCGAAGCCCGUGUGACGAUUAGUAAGUGUUCGGUAGAAGGACCGAACCCAAAACCUUCGCUGUGUUCGCGGACGUCGCUUCGAGUUUAGUCAUGGUACGUUAAUUGAUCACGUGCUAUGGAAGACGAGUGGAAUUGAUCUCCAAGUGAUGCUGAUGGACGAAGCUAAAAUGGAUGAAUCAACCAAGUGUCAGGAUGGAAGAUGCUCACCAAGUGGUCGUCAAUUAACAACACUAACAUAGUGUUUAUCCCAGGCAAGCCCCGGUGCAUUUGCCACCUCCUUGUUGUUAUAAAACUUUUAUCACUUAUAUGUUGCAUUAGGUGAUAGGAGUUGAGUGAUGAAACAAUUGAUGCAAUGCCAUUCCUUGGAAUUUGAUUACUAUUCCUUGAUUCCUGUUUAUAAAAGAGAACUAAAGAUGCUUAGCCCUGCUUAGAUAAUUAAAAGUUGUUUCUUUUAAAAAGAUGAUGUGUUACACGGGAUAUGGGAAAUUGUUGUGAAAAAGAAAUUGGGAUGGUGAAUCCAUAUGGCCAUGAUGGAUUCAACAUCCAGAAAAAGUACCUCUGUCAGGUACCAAGGAUUGGGAAAUGGUUUAACUAAAAUGAGACCAGACGUUGAGCAGGAAAGGUCGCCCGUCUGUGUCGAUUAAGGACCGUUCCGAUUGUUGGCCUGCUGAUCUAGGACCCUUUAACUGGCCACAUGCCUCAUCAUGGGUAAGCUUAGCCUCGGUCGGACCAAUACCAGAACAGCUCGCACGCACUGGGAGUGGAGAGAUGGCGAGAGUAGCUUGUACCCUCCGUGGCAAGAGACUGGAAGGUGGGGUGCUGUACUCUCGGAAACAUGGCGGGCACCAUGGCGAGAGUAACGUGUACCAACCAGGCCAACGGCUGGAAGGUGGGGUGCUGUACUCUCGGAAACAUGGCGGGCACCAUGGCGAGAGUAACGUGUACCAACCAGGCCAAUGGCUGGAUGGUGGAGUACUGUGCUCUCGGGUCGCGUGAACCUGUUUUGGUCUUGAGAAACCCGUGGGCGAGUUGACAUAUGCAAGGGUUAAGUGCUACAUAUGUCGUGUGGUUGGAGAUCCCCAGCUGGGUAUUAAUCGAUUCGGA